GCCAUGCAUGUCUAAGUAUAAAUCUUUUACUUUGAAACUGCGAACGGCUCAUUAUAUCAGUUAUAGUUUAUUUGAUAGUCCCUUACUACUUGGAUAACCGUAGUAAUUCUAGAGCUAAUACAUGCGUCAAUACCCUUCUGGGGUAGUAUUUAUUAGAUUGAAACCAACCCCUUCGGGGUGAUGUGGUGAUUCAUAAUAAGCUUGCGGAUCGCAUGGCUUUGCCGGCGAUGGAUCAUCCAAGUUUCUGCCCUAUCAGCUUUGGAUGGUAGGGUAUUGGCCUACCAUGGCUUUAACGGGUAACGGGAAAUUAGGGUUUGAUUCCGGAGAG
RNAcentral lists this ribosomal RNA (328 nucleotides) under Nitzschia palea. Its description in RNAcentral is "SSU rRNA". It matches the Rfam family "Eukaryotic small subunit ribosomal RNA", at positions 48 to 390 of the family's 1831-position model. Lineage: Eukaryota; Bacillariophyta; Bacillariophyceae; Bacillariales; Bacillariaceae. The record is from RNAcentral.